Molecule: ribosomal RNA, 253 nt
Filed under: uncultured bacterium
Lineage: Bacteria
Description: partial 16S ribosomal RNA
Rfam family: Bacterial small subunit ribosomal RNA
Source: RNAcentral
UACGAAGGGGGCUAGCGUUGCUCGGAAUCACUGGGUGUAAAGGGUGCGCAGGCGGAUUUGUAAGUCAGAGGUGAAAUCUCACGGCUUAACCGUGAAACUGCCUUUGAUACUGCGGAUCUUGAGUUAGAGAGAGGUUGAUGGAAUUCCAGGUGUAGCGGUGAAAUGCGUAGAUAUCUGGAAGAACACCAGUGGCGAAGGCGGCCCUCUGGACGGAUACUGACGCUGAGGCGCGAAAGCGUGGGGAUCAAACAGG